CGGCAUGCCUAACACAUGCAAGUCGAACGAAGUCUUCGGACUUAGUGGCGCACGGGUGCGUAACGCGUGGGAAUCUGCCCUUGGGUACGGAAUAACUCAGAGAAAUUUGUGCUAAUACCGUAUAAUGUCUUCGGACCAAAGAUUUAUCGCCCAAGGAUGAGCCCGCGUAAGAUUAGCUAGUUGGUGAGGUAAGAGCUCACCAAGGCGACGAUCUUUAGCUGGUCUGAGAGGAUGAUCAGCCACACUGGGACUGAGACACGGCCCAGACUCCUACGGGAGGCAGCAGUGGGGAAUAUUGGACAAUGGGCGAAAGCCUGAUCCAGCAAUGCCGCGUGAGUGAUGAAGGCCUUAGGGUUGUAAAGCUCUUUUACCCGGGAUGAUAAUGACAGUACCGGGAGAAUAAGCUCCG
Molecule: ribosomal RNA, 409 nt
Filed under: alpha proteobacterium BAL193
Lineage: Bacteria; Pseudomonadati; Pseudomonadota; Alphaproteobacteria
Description: bacterial SSU rRNA
Rfam family: Bacterial small subunit ribosomal RNA
Source: RNAcentral